GUCUACAGUCAUACCACCCUGAACAUUCCCAAUCUCUUCUGGUCUCAGAAGCUAAGCAGGGUUGAGAUUGGUUAGUACUUGGAUGGGAGAAAAUAAGAAAGGAAAUCUGACA
RNAcentral lists this ribosomal RNA (112 nucleotides) under Panthera tigris altaica (Amur tiger). The record is from RNAcentral. Lineage: Eukaryota; Metazoa; Chordata; Mammalia; Carnivora; Felidae.